Molecule: ribosomal RNA, 504 nt
Filed under: uncultured eukaryote
Lineage: Eukaryota
Description: bacterial SSU rRNA
Rfam family: Eukaryotic small subunit ribosomal RNA
Source: RNAcentral
UUAAAAAGCUCGUAGUUGGAUUUCUGGAUGGAGCGACCGGUCGGGCAUUAAUUUGUCUGCACUGGAGUCGGUUCCGUCCAUCCUCUUGGAAAGUGCGUGGGGCAUUAAGUUGUCUGGCGUAUGAUCCAAGUCGUUUACUGUGAAAAAAUUAGAGUGUUUAAAGCAGGCCUUCGCCUUGAAUACAUUAGCAUGGAAUAAUAAGAUAGGACUUUGGUCUAUUUUGUUGGUUUGCAGACCGAAGUAAUGAUUAAUAGGGAUAGUUGGGGGUAUUUAUAUUCCGAUGUCAGAGGUGAAAUUCUUAGAUUUUCGGAAGAUAAACUUAUGCGAAAGCAUUUACCAAGGAUGUUUUCAUUAAUCAAGAACGAAAGUUAGGGGAUCGAAGAUGAUUANAUACCAUCGUANUCUUAACCAUAAACUAUGCCAAUUANAGAUUGGAGGUCCUUUCUUUUAUGACUCCCUUUCAGCACCUUAUGANAAAUCAAAAUUUUUGGGUUCCCGGGGGGA